CAGUCGAGCGGUACAGAAAGUAGCUUGCUACUUUGCUGACGAGCGGCGGACGGGUGAGUAAUGCUUGGGAACAUGCCUUGAGGUGGGGGACAACAGUUGGAAACGACUGCUAAUACCGCAUAAUGUCUACGGACCAAAGGGGGCUUCGGCUCUCGCCUUUAGAUUGGCCCAAGUGGGAUUAGCUAGUUGGUGAGGUAAUGGCUCACCAAGGCGACGAUCCCUAGCUGGUUUGAGAGGAUGAUCAGCCACACUGGGACUGAGACACGGCCCAGACUCCUACGGGAGGCAGCAGUGGGGAAUAUUGCACAAUGGGCGAAAGCCUGAUGCAGCCAUGCCGCGUGUGUGAAGAAGGCCUUCGGGUUGUAAAGCACUUUCAGUCAGGAGGAAAGGUUAGUAGUUAAUACCUGCUAGCUGUGACGUUACUGACAGAAGAAGCACCGGCUAACUCCGUGCCAGCAGCCGCGGUAAUACGGAGGGUGCGAGCGUUAAUCGGAAUUACUGGGCGUAAAGCGUACGCAGGCGGUUUGUUAAGCGAGAUGUGAAAGCCCCGGGCUCAACCUGGGAACUGCAUUUCGAACUGGCAAACUAGAGUGUGAUAGAGGGUGGUAGAAUUUCAGGUGUAGCGGUGAAAUGCGUAGAGAUCUGAAGGAAUACCGAUGGCGAAGGCAGCCACCUGGGUCAACACUGACGCUCAUGUACGAAAGCGUGGGGAGCAAACGGGAUUAGAUACCCCGGUAGUCCACGCCGUAAACGAUGUCUACUAGAAGCUCGGAGCCUCGGUUCUGUUUUUCAAAGCUAACGCAUUAAGUAGACCGCCUGGGGAGUACGGCCGCAAGGUUAAAACUCAAAUGAAUUGACGGGGGCCCGCACANNNNNNNGAGCAUGUGGUUUAAUUCGAUGCAACGCGAAGAACCUUACCUACACUUGACAUACAGNNNACUUACCAGAGAUGGUUUGGUGCC
RNAcentral lists this ribosomal RNA (962 nucleotides) under uncultured bacterium. RNAcentral describes it as "bacterial SSU rRNA". It matches the Rfam family "Bacterial small subunit ribosomal RNA", at positions 59 to 1018 of the family's 1533-position model. The record is from RNAcentral.